Molecule: ribosomal RNA, 254 nt
Filed under: uncultured bacterium
Lineage: Bacteria
Description: partial 16S ribosomal RNA
Rfam family: Bacterial small subunit ribosomal RNA
Source: RNAcentral
UACGUAGGGUGCGAGCGUUGUCCGGAAUUAUUGGGCGUAAAGGGCUCGUAGGCGGUUUGUCGCGUCGGGAGUGAAAUCCACUGGCUUAACUGGUGGCUUGCUUUCGAUACGGGCAGACUGGAGGUAUGCAGGGGAGAACGGAAUUCCUGGUGUAAGCGGUGAAAUGCGCAGAUAUCAGGAGGAACACCGGUGGCGAAGGCGGUUCUCCUGGGCAUGUCCUGACGUGAGGAGCGAAAGUGUGGGGAGCGAACAGG